Long non-coding RNA from Megachile rotundata (alfalfa leafcutting bee), 2187 nucleotides. NCBI's taxonomy places the organism in Eukaryota, Metazoa, Arthropoda, Insecta, Hymenoptera, Megachilidae. The record is from RefSeq and is a predicted model, not a curated record.
AUUAAAAUCGGCGAGAAGGAGGAGGUGCGGCCGCCACCCGCCGGGGAGGAGGCACGGAGAACGUAAUAGCGCCGCGGUGAUUCGGAUAUAGGUUAGAUUACGCUCUGUUAGACCGACCGAUUCUGACGGAUCGCAGCGACACGGCUGCCGCCGCCACCGUCGACGACGACGAUGAUACUACUACUUGUUAGGGUGCGUUUUGACUGGACGAGCUGGAACCGGACUCCACUGGAGCGAGAGCGUUCGCUCGCUCCUGCUCGUUUAGAAUAUAUCGGAUUGCUAACUAAGCCUUCGUCGGUGCUUUCUAAUUUGAAAAUUUGAAAUUUCCAUACAAUCAGUCGAAACCUUUUACCUUGAAAAUUUUCAAAAUCUCAUAUUUCUAUAGUUCUGAAUUUCCAUAUUUCCAAUUUGCCAAAUUCUUACUUUUAAAAUUCUAAAUUGGUAAAUUUUAGUAUUUCUACAAUUAAAAAUUUUUAAGUUGUUCUAGGUACAUUGAAUUGAAUCAAGUCAAACUAAAUUGAAUGGAAAACGACAAACGAGCAUUUGAUGAACAAUCGAACUGCAAAGAAUGCUCUACGUUUGUAUUUUACCAAAGUGGGGGAAAAUGAGCAUUCGCUCGUUCAGUCAAAACACACCCUAAAACUUCACGUGUGCACUCUUUGACGCUGCUUGCAUCUUCUUCCUUCUUUUGUCUCUCCGUUUUCUUCUCUUCUUCUACUACCGAUAAAUAUUGAAGUGGAGGAAUUUAAAACAUGGCAUUUAAUAAAGAGACAAAGUUACCUGUGACUCUUUUUUUAGUACCUCUGAAAAUGAUUUUGUAUAUCUGUAAAUUAUUGAAGUAGUGGUACUGCGUUGAAUCUCAAUAUUUGGAAGAGAUAUUUUUACAUAACUUUAUUGUAAUUUAUUAAAAGGAAAGAAUGAAAAAUAAAUAACUGGUUCAUAUUUCUACAAUCUAGAUUUCAGUGGCACGGUCAAACCUUGGCAUCAUUUCAUAAUGGGAUUAGUGUCUUAAUAUAAGGUUUCACGAAGUCCAUAGCUUGUGUACACUACAUUUCUUAGAUUAAGAUCCAUGAGUACCUAUAAUACCACUAUCAUUUUCAUUUAGUUUUAUUUAUUUUUCAUUCACGUGGUUUAUUUUACAUUUUGGAGUCAAAUGAGGUUCUGACUAGUGUUAGUCAUCAGGAUAUUUUAUUGUUAGUGUGAAAAUAAAGUACAAGCAGUGAAUAUUGUUACAUUUCUAAAACGUUUAUAAACGUUUUACUUAUAAUAUCCGUUUUUGAAUUAUAAAAUUUUUCAUUGGUUAGAUGAAAUAAUAUUUGAACUCCAUUUGUACACAAAUGUAACCAUUAUACAUAAGUAAUUAUUGAGGUUUUGAAGUAUUCAGUUUACUUCUGUAUAAUAUUUAAAGUAUUUAAUAUACCUGUUGAAACCAUACUGUUAAAUAUGUUGAAUCAGAGUUAAAAAUUUAUGAGAUAAGUUGAGGAAGUGCUAAUAGAUGACUAAUGUUAAAUAUGCUAUAUGCAGCUAAUUGAGAUGCACAUAAAGAUUACACAUGCUGAAUAAGAAUUUCAAGAGUAACUGAAUUUAAAUUCAAAUGUAUCAAAGUUGUACAUUUAUCCUGUAGUAUAACUUCAAAUUUUUUUAAGAUUUUUAAGAGUUUGGAAAGAAAAUUAGUUUCACUUUUAUUUUAUUAACAAUACAUAUAUUAAAAUAACAUCUUAAACAAUCUGUAUGUGCUAUUGUUUGCUACACAAACAAUAUUCUGAUAGUUUCCUAUAAAAGUUAAUAUUGUUGCAUUAUUGAAAAUAAGAAUAAUGGUAGUUAUAACUAAAUUUCGUAUUUAUUAUAUUAAUUUAUUGGUAUACUUUUAUGUAAGAUAAUUUAAUGGAAGAUCAUAAGGAGGACACGUUACAGGGUACAUUAUUAAACAAGACACGCAGUUAAAUCAUAAACGCUUAUGUUACAAACCAGUAAUUGUUUAUUAUAAUCGUCUUUAACUGAAAAGGACAAUUAUAGCGAUAAAUGUAUAUACGCAUUAUAAUUAUAAAUGAUAUAACAACUGGUUGCUCCACUGCUACACUAAAUUUCAGAUCUCUGUGUUAUUACAUGGGUGCAUUAAAAACUCUAAUCAAUAUCAACAGUUGCUUGUUGCUUGCAUGUUAUAUUAAUAUAAUAAAUUAAUAAAUA